Molecule: non-coding RNA, 439 nt
Organism: Prunus avium (sweet cherry)
Lineage: Eukaryota; Viridiplantae; Streptophyta; Magnoliopsida; Rosales; Rosaceae
Source: RefSeq, a predicted model, not a curated record
CUUCCUCGGCUUCUUCUUCCUCCCCAUACCCCCCAACCACGAAGUGGUCCUCAAGCCCUCAAUCCCAGUUCAAUCCUCUUCCAUCGAUGUUCGCCGAACCAAACCAAACCGCACCGACUCCUCGGCGUGCCGAUUGUAGUCGGUCUUGCAUCUCCUCGGCGCGGCGGCGGUCUCCAAAAUGGGCAUGCCGAUGACCUCCGGUCGGCAUACGGUUUGGGCUCAUACCCGACCCAACCCGACCCGUGCUCACCCCUAGUAUAUUCUAUUGAUUGGAGGAAAUUAUCUUUAAGGCUUUUGGAAGAAUGGAUGCAGCAGAUUUUUUGUAAGGAUAUUAUCUUUAUGUGUAUUUUUGUGAUGGGUUGUAAUCUUUAAUUUCAUAAGUUUAAUUUGGUUUGUGUAUUAUUUUUUGUAAUGGUUUGUAAGAGAUUAUAUUUCCUUU